CAGAAGAGGAGGGAAGCUGCCACUGAAGAUGACAGUGGAGAGCCUGGAUAUGAAAUACUCCUCUCAAAAUAUAAGGAACGCAUCACCACCGAGAAUGCCACAUGCAAAGAGCAGAGCAACACGCAGCAGCGCGUGCAGUCGGUGCGCCAGUUCCUUAUUAACAGUGCGGUGGGCGGCGUGCCACAUGCUGACCUGUUAUAUCUGCGCGACCACAGCAGGAUCCGGGAAGCUGUGAGAACAUGGGUUGCAUCCAGCCUGAAGCCCACCACGGU
Molecule: long non-coding RNA, 272 nt
Organism: Neoarius graeffei (lesser salmon catfish)
Lineage: Eukaryota; Metazoa; Chordata; Actinopteri; Siluriformes; Ariidae
Exons: 3
Source: RefSeq, a predicted model, not a curated record